Molecule: ribosomal RNA, 495 nt
Filed under: uncultured bacterium
Lineage: Bacteria
Description: partial 16S ribosomal RNA
Rfam family: Bacterial small subunit ribosomal RNA
Source: RNAcentral
GACGAACGCUGGCGGCGUGCCUAAUACAUGCAAGUAGAACGCUGAAGGAGGAGCUUGCUUCUCUGGAUGAGUUGCGAACGGGUGAGUAACGCGUAGGUAACCUGCCUGGUAGCGGGGGAUAACUAUUGGAAACGAUAGCUAAUACCGCAUAAGAGUAGAUGUUGCAUGACAUUUGCUUAAAAGGUGCAAUUGCAUCACUACCAGAUGGACCUGCGUUGUAUUAGCUAGUUGGUGGGGUAACGGCUUACCAAGGCGACGAUACAUAGCCGACCUGAGAGGGUGAUCGGCCACACUGGGACUGAGACACGGCCCAGACUCCUACGGGAGGCAGCAGUAGGGAAUCUUCGGCAAUGGACGGAAGUCUGACCGAGCAACGCCGCGUGAGGGAAGAAGGUUUUCGGAUCGUAAAGCUCUGUUGUAAGAGAAGAACGAGUGUGAGAGUGGAAAGUUCACACUGUGACGGUAUCUGACCAGAAAGGGACGGCUAACUACGUG